UACGAAGGGGGCUAGCGUUGUUCGGAAUUACUGGGCGUAAAGGGCGCGUAGGCGGUGUGUCAAGGCAGGCGUGAAAGCCCCGGGCUCAACCUGGGAACCGCGCUUGAGACUGGCACGCUCGAGUUCGGGAGAGGAUGGUGGAAUUCCCAGUGUAGAGGUGAAAUUCGUAGAUAUUGGGAAGAACACCGAUGGCGAAGGCAGCCAUCUGGACCGACACUGACGCUCAUGCACGAAAGCGUGGGGAGCAAACAGG
This 253-nucleotide ribosomal RNA is filed under the name uncultured bacterium. RNAcentral's name for it is "partial 16S ribosomal RNA". It matches the Rfam family "Bacterial small subunit ribosomal RNA", at positions 524 to 776 of the family's 1533-position model. The record is from RNAcentral.